This 382-nucleotide ribosomal RNA is filed under the name Papilio antonio antonio. RNAcentral describes it as "partial 16S ribosomal RNA". Lineage: Eukaryota; Metazoa; Arthropoda; Insecta; Lepidoptera; Papilionidae. The record is from RNAcentral.
UAUUUUGACUGUACAAAGGUAGCAUAAUCAUUAGUCUCUUAAUUGGUGACUUGUAUGAAGGAUUGGAUGAGAUAUAUACUGUCUCUAAUUAAGUUAUAAAAUUUAAUUUUUUAGUAAAAAAGCUAAAAUAAUUUUGAAAGACGAGAAGACCCUAUAGAAUUUUAUAAUUUAUUUUAUUAUUAUUAUUAUAUAAAUUUUUAAAUUAAAAUAAAAUAAAUUAUUUUGUUGGGGUGACAAAAAAAUUAAAUUAACUUUUUUUAAUAUUAAACAUUAAUUUAUGAUUAUAGGAUCCAUUAAUAAUGAUUAAAAGAAAUAAUUACCUUAGGGAUAACAGCGUAAUUUUUUUUUUUAGUUCAAAUAGGAAAAAAAGUUUGCGACCUCG